UUAAAAGUAACUCCUGCUCAAUGAUUUAAUUAAUAGCCGCAGAUUUGUCUGUGCUAAGGUAGCACAAUCACUUGCCUUAUAAUUCAAGGAUCGUAUGAACGGAAGCCCGAAUUUUAAACUGUUUCAAUAAUUUAAAUUAAAAUUCACACUAAAGUUAAAAUUCUUUUACCAACAAAAAAGACGACAAGACCCUGCUGAACUUUACUAAAGUUACGCUGGGGUGGCCAUAUUAAAAAAAUCUUAAUAACUACCCAUCAACCAAACUUAACAAAAAUCUACAAGUUACCACAGGGAUAACAGCAUAAUUAUUUUUUACAGCUCUUAUUAAAAAAAUAGAUUGUGACCUCGAUGUUGAAUUAAGAUAUCUACAAUAAAUUUUAAUCGCAAAAGAUUUGAAAGAAAGUCUGUUCGACU
RNAcentral lists this ribosomal RNA (414 nucleotides) under Harpactea grisea. Its description in RNAcentral is "partial large subunit ribosomal RNA". It matches the Rfam family "Bacterial large subunit ribosomal RNA", at positions 1846 to 2586 of the family's 2925-position model. Lineage: Eukaryota; Metazoa; Arthropoda; Arachnida; Araneae; Dysderidae. The record is from RNAcentral.